GGGUCAGAGAAAUAAAGGGAGCUGCCCUUUUGGGCAGCGUGAAAGUGGAAAGGCAGAAGCAGGAAAUAAUGAGAAGUGGGGAAAAUAAUAGAACAAAGGUGAGGAAGGAGACACGGGACCCAGGGAGGACAGCACGUGAAAGGAUCCAAGAGAGAGACUGGUGAGCAGCUGGCGUGGGAAAGUCAGAAAGGAGAGACAAACCAGCGGAAAAAUAAGGGAAUAAAGAAACAGAAAGGACUGCAUAGGGGGUCUUGGAGGGGGAGAAAGGAGCUGCCCUUUGGGCAGCUCGCACAGAAGCAGGAAGGGAGAUGGAGCUGCCUUUGGCAGCACGGGGUCAGAGAGGAUAGAGAGACGUGAGGAGACUGACAGAAGCAAGAAAACUAGACGGGAAAAGAAGAAACGCUGCCUUUAGCAGCAAAAAGGAGAGGACAGCAGUGGGCUGUCUUGGAGCCCAGAGGAGUGCGCAGGGUGCGCAGAAAAUAAAAGAAGAAACGCUGCCUUUAGCAGCAAAAAGGAGAGAAGCAGGAGAGAGGUCAGAGGGCAGGACAGGCGGUGUGAAAGAAGACAAGGCAGAAACAAGAAGGCAGGCGUGGGGGGAAUCACGGGAAGCUGCCCGAGGACUGCGCAGAGGAGAAGGAAGGCACGGACUAGAGAGGUGAGCACGGGGGAAGCUGCCCUUGCAGCUGAGACUGACGCAAGGAAGACUGACGCGGGCAGGGGGAGAGAG
Molecule: long non-coding RNA, 727 nt
Filed under: Malus domestica (apple)
Lineage: Eukaryota; Viridiplantae; Streptophyta; Magnoliopsida; Rosales; Rosaceae
Description: long non-coding RNA (MDOM_LNC020019)
Source: RNAcentral